CUCUGGCACAAACUGUGCCUUGGUUUAACCAUAAAUCCAGUGUUGCGCGUCAGUGUUGAAGUAAAGCUGUGCGUCAUGUAAGGAGUCCAGUUCAGUCAUGGAAUGUGACAAACGCAUCCCCAUACUGGAGAUUCCCACAGGAAAUUUCGAUUCUUAGUCAUUAACAGGCAGAAUCCAUGUGAAAUUGUGAUUAAAAGUCUAAUUUUCUUUAAUUUUUUGCACGUUUAACAACAAAAAUGUUCAUACUUGUAGGUAUAUUUACAAUUAAAGAGGGCAAAACUUGUAGCAGCCAUCAUAGCUAUACAGCCUAAUAGGGACAUUUCUAUUUUUAGGUUGCUAUGAGACAGCACAGAGGCAGUUUCUAAUGAGAACAGUGAUGUUCUCAGCCCUGCAAGGAACAGGAGAAAAAGCCAUUAAUGCUCAUACAAAUGGAUUCCCUGUGUUGUUAUGCAGAUGAACAGAUGAAUUGAUCAGUAGGACGAAAGAGGUAAAAGUGUUGCUGCUUAAAAAGGAACCAUCUUUGGGGUAUUUUAAUGGACUAUUUAGGAAUUGAUUUGAAUUUUUCUUGGAAAUUAUGAAAAAGAAGGUUGAAAUUCUUCAAUAAAAUGAUUUAUUUAAAGAUAUGUCAUUUCAUUUCAAAAGUUCAAAGUAAAAAAUAAAAGGAAUUUAGCAUUGUUUUCUUUUUCUUUUUAUGUUGAAGACAUAAAAGUUAAAGCUACAACACAAUUUCUUUGAACCCUCUUUUUGUUGCUUCUUUAAUGAGAACACGUCACAACAUUUACCUUGCUGCAAAAGUCAAUUUAAAUGUAAGGGACUCUGUGUUGUCAAGUAGAGAAUUUUUGCACAAUUGUGAGGUAAAACAACAUUUUUUUUCUUCGUAAUUCAAGAAAUUCAUGUAAAAUUCUCUAUCCUAGCUUAUUGCUUUCUCCACACAAUAGAUGUGACAUGCUCUCUCUUUGCCUUCAUUUUCAGAACAAUCAGUUCUGCCUGUAAGUGCCACCGAGUCGCGCCGCCACGUCUCCAGUCAUAACUGCUGAUCUCUGCAUGAGGCACAGCCACACAGAACAGGAGCAUUAUGAUGGAAUUCCACUCUGUCAGUCAUUCCUUCCUCUGUUGUGAGCAGAUGAUGCAGGCGAGACGGCUCUUAUGGCACAGCAUCUGAGGCGGCUGAUGCCUUGGUAAACACGGCGCACGGUAACAGAUGGAGCUCCAAGCACUGAUGGGUGGUCUGCUGUUAGUUUAAGAUAAUGGGACUGAGUAACCCUUUUGCUCUGAGGUGCUCCUCAUCUUUUCCUUUCUGUGAGCAGCCCAUUUACCAUCUUUUGAAUGUCUUGGACAUAAUUAUUUCUCUGUAAGUGCUGUACAUUUUGCUCUGUAGGAGUGACCCAUCUCUGCAAGGAAUGACACUAUGUGUCACCGUGUGCUUAGAGUUGACUAAAAGUGAAAAUAUAAAUUUAGAUGCAGGGCUAAAAGCAUAAAAAGACUGCAUCAGAAAAAAAAGAAUUACAGCUAAACGUAUGGAGAUAUGCAGUUUGCUCUCCUUACAUGCACACCAACCCAUCUUCCUUCGCCUCUGUCUUUUUUAUUGUGUCGUCAUGGUGAUGGUUUUUCGUCUUUGAGUCUAAUUAAAGAGAGAGCUUUAGAUGUAUUGACUAUUUCAGCUCACAGAAAUCCUCUUUUCCAAUACCUUUCCUUGUGUCGUCAUCAAAAGGGUAACCUUUAAUUAGACCGAUGCGCAUGCAGCUACACCAACCGGAGCCCAUGUGGAGAGAAACAAACGGCGUCGACAACACAGAAGGCUGGCACAAACUUUUAUUUAUCUCCAUUUGUUGUGCCUUUCAGCGAAAAUUGCUGUGGAAAAAAAAGAAAGAAAAA
This is a long non-coding RNA of Oryzias melastigma (Indian medaka), 1875 nucleotides long. RefSeq lists it as uncharacterized. The transcript is spliced from 2 exons. Lineage: Eukaryota; Metazoa; Chordata; Actinopteri; Beloniformes; Adrianichthyidae. The record is from RefSeq and is a predicted model, not a curated record.